GUUUUGUAUGAAAGGAGAGAAUAUUAGCACUCCCUUGACAAGGAUGGAAGAGGCUCUCAGACCUGACAACAUGCAUGAGGUUAAGGCAUUGCCACCUACUUCAUGGCAUCUAAACAUCAUGUUGU
RNAcentral lists this non-coding RNA (125 nucleotides) under Rhinopithecus bieti (black snub-nosed monkey). Lineage: Eukaryota; Metazoa; Chordata; Mammalia; Primates; Cercopithecidae. The record is from RNAcentral.